Long non-coding RNA from Capra hircus (goat), 336 nucleotides. RefSeq lists it as uncharacterized. The transcript is spliced from 3 exons. The record is from RefSeq and is a predicted model, not a curated record. Lineage: Eukaryota; Metazoa; Chordata; Mammalia; Artiodactyla; Bovidae.
GGAAGCUCAAAGAAGCCAAGAAGAUACUCAUGGAUGAAAUGCUUUGCACAUAUGGGAUGGAAAGUUGUGCUGUAUUAAGUCAAAAAGCAGCUUCUGAAGAAUGUAUUAUGGCUGCAGCUUCACAGGGAGAGAGAAACAGCUGGGGCGGUUGACAUCUGAAACAGGAGCGGCUGAUGGUUCCUUGCGCAGCAGAUGGGCUUGGGUUAUGAAUAAGCAGCAAAUGUGAAAAAGAGAUUCUCAGGGUUGAGCCAGGAACUGUGAGAAAAAGCCAUGACGCAAAACGGGGUCUUGAGAAAAGAUCUGCUUGUUCAGAGAAGCACCACUCAGGUGGAAGAA